CUCGAAAGCUCCUCUGGCGAUGAAGGAACUUGGGGAAGCGAGAGUUAGCAGAGAUCCGUUUCUCCAUGCCAAAGAAAUCGAGCUCGACACUUGCUCUAGACAUUUCUGAUUAAAUCGAGAACGUUAUGAAGGUAGUAAAAAACGUAAAUGCGAAGGCGGGAGGAGAGGAGAAAGCGAAGGCACUUUAAUAAAGAGGGCUCUGUAACUGUACAUCAAAU
Molecule: unclassified non-coding RNA, 218 nt
Filed under: Hevea brasiliensis (rubber tree)
Lineage: Eukaryota; Viridiplantae; Streptophyta; Magnoliopsida; Malpighiales; Euphorbiaceae
Source: RNAcentral